CUCUGGGGGCGUCGAGGGUUCCGUGAGGCUGCCUUCCCCACUCGGCCGCUGCUGCCCCGGGCGCUCAUGUUCAUCUUCAGCUUUAUGAAGGAACCAGGGGCAGGAGGAGAAUGGAGUUCUCGGACCUUCUUUACCGCAAAGGUGGCCGCGAGUAAUUGGAGCACCUGCUCUUUGCUGGAUUCUGUGCCGGCUGCUGGUCUGCGACAGAAAUGGAGACAGCUACGGGCCUCAUCCUCACAGAACUGA
RNAcentral lists this long non-coding RNA (246 nucleotides) under Mustela putorius furo (domestic ferret). Its description in RNAcentral is "lncRNA (ENSMPUG00000026730.1)". The record is from RNAcentral. Lineage: Eukaryota; Metazoa; Chordata; Mammalia; Carnivora; Mustelidae.